This is a long non-coding RNA of Oncorhynchus tshawytscha (Chinook salmon), 394 nucleotides long. The record is from Ensembl. Lineage: Eukaryota; Metazoa; Chordata; Actinopteri; Salmoniformes; Salmonidae.
AGGGGAAGGUGUAUGUCUGUAGGUGUCUGUAGGGGAGGUGUCUGUCCGUAGGUGUCUGUCUGUAGGUGUCUGUAGGGGAAGGUGUCUGUCUGUAGGUGUCUGUCUAGGUGUCUGUCUGUAGGUGUCUGUCUGUAGGUGUCUGUGGGGGAAGGUGUCUGUCUGUAGGUGUCUGUCUAGGUGUCUGUCUGUAGGUGUCUGUCUGUAGGUGUCUGUGGGGGAAGGUGUCUGUCUGUAGGUGUCUGUCUGUAGGUGUCUGUAGGGGAAGGUGUAUGCCUGUAGGUGUCUGUCUGUAGGUGUCUGUCUGUAGGUGUCUGUAGGGGAAGGUGUUUGUCUGUAGGUGUCUGUCUAGGUGUCUGUCUGUAGGUGUCUGCCUGUAGGUGUCUGUCUGUAGGUG